Non-coding RNA from Aegilops tauschii subsp. strangulata, 228 nucleotides. Lineage: Eukaryota; Viridiplantae; Streptophyta; Magnoliopsida; Poales; Poaceae. The record is from RefSeq and is a predicted model, not a curated record.
CAACGCAUUAGUCAGGAAAGGCAACUCAGUGAUCCCUUCAGCUCCAAUGAUGAACUUUGUGCGUGCCCAGAUCAAGAAAGCAGCUGAUGAGACCGAGACUAUUCUGGAAACAACCCCGGCUGGCAAAAGCGAUGGGGAAGGUGCACUUCGAGCAUUCAUUAAGCGCCAGGGCCAAAAGUUAAGGCGGCUAUCAAACCUUUUUGGUUGUCGUGACCCCGAGUAUGUAUC